AAAAUUAAACAUUUAAGAGAUCAAUAAAUGGUGUGAAAAGGGAUUUAUUAUCUGAUUUGGAUGAAGCUUCAUCGGUAAGGUCGAGAUCAAGCCGGACUUCUACUCCAGUGAGGAGUGUGAGUAGAGCUUCUACGCCAUCGAAACGAACCUGCAACGGGCUCAACAAGUCUGGUCUUUCUUGCAAACGAACCUGCGUUACGGGGAAAGAUUUCUGCUAUCAGCAUUUGAAAGAUGUGAAGCUGUCAUCUUAAGAAAUUCAAAGUUAUUGUAAAUAUAUUGUAAAAGUUAUUGUUUUGUAAAUUUUAUUUUCGUUUUUUUAAAGUUUAGAAUUUUAGUUGUAAAGAAAAAUGAUUGUUUUAUACAGUUCUAUUGAUUACAAAGACAACCUGUUUUGCCCGUGUUAAGAGUAAAAAUAAAAUGUGUAAACGUCGCAAUUAGAGCUUCUGCUCUUUUCAGUCCCGAGAAUUUCAGUCAAAUAAAUAUCAUAGAUGAUGA
Long non-coding RNA from Centruroides sculpturatus (bark scorpion), 495 nucleotides. RefSeq lists it as uncharacterized. NCBI's taxonomy places the organism in Eukaryota, Metazoa, Arthropoda, Arachnida, Scorpiones, Buthidae. The record is from RefSeq and is a predicted model, not a curated record. The transcript has 2 exons.